RNAcentral lists this transfer RNA (74 nucleotides) under Glycine soja. It matches the Rfam family "tRNA". Rfam says of the family: Transfer RNA (tRNA) molecules are approximately 80 nucleotides in length. Lineage: Eukaryota; Viridiplantae; Streptophyta; Magnoliopsida; Fabales; Fabaceae. The record is from Rfam by way of RNAcentral.
GAUCUAUUAGUUCAGUUGGUUAGAGCAUUGUGUUAAUAACAUGAAAGUCAUAGGUUUAAUUCUUACUUAAAUCA